CGCGUUCAGCAUCUGCAGCUCCGGCCGGUGGCAACUGCAGUCCUGGCCAGCAUCGCCCCACACCCCAGCAGCUCCAGCUCCGGCAAUUGCCACCGCGACCUCGGCACCUCCAGCUCCGGCCAUCGCCGCCGCCCACCUAGGCAUCUGCAGCUCCGGCCGGCGUCGCCCCAUCACACUAGCCCCGGCCCCAAUGGUUGCGUGUCGACCAUGGUGUCCAGCGCGUGGCGUCAUCGUUCCAGAGCACGGCCGCGUUCGGCAAGGGUGAUUCGCUCGCGCCUAGCGUAAGGUCAAGCCACAUGGUCAUGGGAGUGCUGGGUUGAUCCUCGUCUGUCCUCGCUCGCGUGCAUCUAUGACCCCUAGACGAUAGAGAGACGACGAAGCUUUCCCCUAAUCUGCACCUGCAAUACGCUAGCUGUACAAAACCUUUGGUCCCUCUGAAAUCAUAGACCAAGGCAGCUGCUACUAUUCUCCUGAUUUAGCAUCUGAGUUGUUUACUCUUGGUGUAUUGGUUGUUGAAAGGAAACCUACCUGGAUUGCAAUUUCUAAGGUUAGUGCACAACAUAUUCUCUUGGAACA
Sorghum bicolor (sorghum) is the source of this 576-nucleotide long non-coding RNA. RefSeq lists it as uncharacterized. The transcript is spliced from 2 exons. The record is from RefSeq and is a predicted model, not a curated record. NCBI's taxonomy places the organism in Eukaryota, Viridiplantae, Streptophyta, Magnoliopsida, Poales, Poaceae.